GACGAACGCUGGCGGCGUGCUUAACACAUGCAAGUCGAGCGACGCUCUUCCUUCGGGGAGAUGACGGAGCGGCGAACGGGUGAGUAACACGUGGGCAACCUGCCCCUAGCUCUGGGACAACACCGGGAAACCGGUGCUAAUACCGGAUACGACAUCGAGCGGCAUCUCUCGAUGUGGAAAGUUUUUUCGGCUAGGGAUGGGCCCGCGGCCUAUCAGCUUGUUGGUGGGGUAAUGGCCCACCAAGGCGACGACGGGUAGCCGGCCUGAGAGGGCGACCGGCCACACUGGGACUGAGACACGGCCCAGACUCCUACGGGAGGCAGCAGUGGGGAAUAUUGCGCAAUGGGCGAAAGCCGGACGCAGCGACGCCGCGUGAGGGAUGACGGCCUUCGGGUUGGAAACCUCUUUCAGCAGGGACGAAUUCAGACGGUACCUGCAGAAGAAGCACCGGCCAACUACGUG
RNAcentral lists this ribosomal RNA (462 nucleotides) under uncultured bacterium. RNAcentral describes it as "partial 16S ribosomal RNA". It matches the Rfam family "Bacterial small subunit ribosomal RNA", at positions 28 to 507 of the family's 1533-position model. The record is from RNAcentral.